RNAcentral lists this transfer RNA (72 nucleotides) under Rhipicephalus microplus (southern cattle tick). RNAcentral's name for it is "tRNA-Trp". It matches the Rfam family "tRNA". Rfam says of the family: Transfer RNA (tRNA) molecules are approximately 80 nucleotides in length. The record is from Rfam by way of RNAcentral. Lineage: Eukaryota; Metazoa; Arthropoda; Arachnida; Ixodida; Ixodidae.
GACUCGGUGCCGCAACGGUAGCGCGUCUGACUCCAGAUCAGAAGGUUGCGUGUUCGAAUCACGUCUGGGUCA